GACGAACGCUGGCGGCGUGCUUAACACAUGCAAGUCGAACGGAAAGGCCCUGCUUGCAGGGUGCUCGAGUGGCGAACGGGUGAGUAACACGUGGGUGUUCUGCCCCUUACUUUGGGAUAAGCCUGGGAAACUGGGUCUAAUACUGGAUAGGACCAUGCUGUAGGUGGUGUGGUGGAAAGAUUAGUUUCGGUAAGGGAUGAGCUCGCGGCCUAUCAGCUUGUUGGUGGGGUAAUGGCCUACCAAGGCGUCGACGGGUAGCCGGCCUGAGAGGGUGGACGGCCACAUUGGGACUGAGAUACGGCCCAGACUCCUACGGGAGGCAGCAGUGGGGAAUAUUGCACAAUGGGCGCAAGCCUGAUGCAGCGACGCCGCGUGGGGGAUGACGGCCUUCGGGUUGUAAACUCCUUUCAGCCAUGACGAAGCCCUUGUGGUGACGGUAGUGGUAGAAGAAGCACCGGCUAACUACGUG
Molecule: ribosomal RNA, 469 nt
Filed under: uncultured bacterium
Lineage: Bacteria
Description: partial 16S ribosomal RNA
Rfam family: Bacterial small subunit ribosomal RNA
Source: RNAcentral